Molecule: long non-coding RNA, 806 nt
Filed under: Struthio camelus australis
Lineage: Eukaryota; Metazoa; Chordata; Aves; Struthioniformes; Struthionidae
Description: lncRNA (ENSSCUG00000004257.1)
Source: RNAcentral
CGUGCGCUUUUGAGACGUGCACGUAUGCGCACGGACGGGCGCGCGCGCAUGUGCGUAUCGCUCCCUCUUCCAGCACUUCCUUUUCCCUUGUCAGUUCUUACACACUUGCAGGAAAGGCUCGGUUUUGUCGACGUGCAGCUGCCAGGAGCGGAGCCGGGUGGCCGUGACGUGGCAGCACCCGCGGCGCAGCGCGAAGCCCCUGCUGUGGUUCAUUCUGGAGUGUCUUUCUGCAGCUCGAUAUAGCCAGGAGUACCAAUUUUUUUGGCAGAAAGUCCCCAAGCAGGACACACUCGCGUACAUCCAGGAAGAGGCAGCAGCGGGAAGCCAUAUCAACGUGUCGGUAUACGCAGUCUACCCGGACGGAGUAAGCAAACCGUGCUCUGGCCAAGGUAAGCGCAGUGGUGUGGAGAAACUGCUGCUUGCUGUGAGGAGGUUGCAAAGUUCAGCUUGCUGCUUCAUUCUUGAUAGUCACACAGUUUGCUAAUUUUGUAGAGUUAUUUAAUUUUAGAAAAAAGAGCUAAAACUCAUCAGUUUUCUCCUGCCUGCCAUGGACCACAGAGAAAAGGAGGGCUCUAGAAGGAAACCUCUUGGCUGCAGGACAUGUCAAUUCAGAUUUUAUCAAAACAUCUCUAUGAAAGCCUUCUCUAGUUGGUAUGCUUUGUUUCUUCUGCACACAGAUCUCUGAUGAACAUGAGAUUAAUUCUACAAAAUAUGCCAAUGGAGUCAUCAUUCUCCCUUUUUGUGAUGCAAAAGAUCAGGUUGCUUCUUCUUUGCCACAUUUGGCAAUAAAACCUUAUAAGAAAACA